CGAAUAAAUGUGCGGGCGAGCGUAUUAUGUGGAGGAAGAAAACGUGCUCCAUAGCACGUUUUUCUCCGUUGAAGGAAAUCAUUUCUGAAAAAUUUGCUGUCGAAAGGUUCAGUUACGAGGCUUUCAGCGUUGAAGGGUCGUCGCGUUACGGCGAUCCCAAGGAAGGCUACAAAUCUUGCGCAGACCGUAGCUUCGCCUCGUGUGCGCCGUUGCUAUAGCUCGCGAUACGGGCAGAAGCUGGCGGGGCGAAGGUGCAGCUGGAAUGGCUGUAGCCGUCUUCCUAGCAGUGGCCGUAGGCGCUAUAGAUAACGUUCUGGCUAAUCAGAAGCAUUUUGACAUCACCACUGGCCUUCCGAAGAACGCAACGUGCAAGAGCUUUAUCCACGCCAACGAGGCCUGCCGAAAAGCUGUGGAACAGCUGGACGUGCACAGACAAAGCGUGAACGGCACCAAAAUACCGAUGAAACACCGCAAGUUCGCCCGAGUAUUGAAAAUAUGCUACAGGAAGAAACUGGCGAAGGAUGAUCUUCACCGCGUAUGCCACAGCGAGCGAACUGUGAAAAAAGUCCUUCAAUGUUACAAGAAAGCCUCAACUAAGGCUACGCCAAAAAAAUCCCGGAAAGCCACGAAAGAAAUCUUCAGAGAAUACCGGAAAUGCUUCCUGGAGAAGUUCACGCCCGAACCCGACCCGAGCGACGAAGAAAUCACGUUUCCCAGGGCCCCCAUUUUGCGCGACUGAAGCGCAAUUGGUCCGGUUUUAUCAUUUAUUUUUUAACCGCAUCGCACGUGAAAUAAACCAUAACUGCCCAACAAGCGCGAGGCGGCUUUGUGGUAAACGGUUUCCAGCAGGUGCGUAUAGGCUCUCCAAUAUUGUACACCAGAACGCGCGAGCAUCGACCGCACGGCAUGCAAGUCUUAUAAAGGCGAGAUCGGGGACACUGUGUGCAAAAGCGCGAAGACUGUUCAGGGCAUUGCAGGGUGAAAUGGCCAGAAUGGCGAUGGAUACCGUGCAACAACAACAACAAUAAAAAGUGCAGGAUGGGAUGCAAAACGGCCAACGUAUGCCUGAUGCUGCUCGGAGCUUUCACAGUCGCAGCAGGAGACUUAUACUGGAACCAAGGGCUCAGACUCCCCUCCGGGUGCUUUGGCCGCAACGCACACGAGAACAAAUGCGAAGAAAUGCUUCGGACGAGCCAUGUGUACAGGCUACUCCAAGAACUUUACGAACGGAGCCCCUCGGGGAGAGACAAUUUCCGGGCUAAAGUCAGGUCGUGCGCCGUGGAGGUGAUGACCUCCAUAGACUUCCACUACCUAUGCGACAGUAUGAAGUUUUCAAGAAAGGCCGUAAUAUGCAUCAAGAAAGUAGCGGCGUCCAUCGGGCCGCCAAGGUUUAAAGCACGCGUUCGAGCAUUUUACAACAAAUACUGGGAAUGCAUGCAAUCACUGUUCGAGCAGCACAAGAAAGUGUAGCUCUAUUUAGCGACGGGUUACAUUAAGAGAAGCGAUGGUGAUCUCAGCGCGGACGGAAAGAGACAAUAAAGUAUCCUCAACAACAGGAA
Molecule: non-coding RNA, 1559 nt
Organism: Dermacentor andersoni
Lineage: Eukaryota; Metazoa; Arthropoda; Arachnida; Ixodida; Ixodidae
Source: RefSeq, a predicted model, not a curated record